Molecule: unclassified non-coding RNA, 226 nt
Filed under: plant metagenome
Description: partial contains small subunit ribosomal RNA and internal transcribed spacer 1
Rfam family: Eukaryotic small subunit ribosomal RNA (bases 1-47)
Source: RNAcentral
AAGGUCGUAACAGGGUCUCCGUAGGUGAACCUGCGGAGGGAUCAUUACACAAAUUAUGAAGGCGGGCUGGAACCUCUCGGGGCUUACAGCCUUGCUGAAUUUAUUCACCCUUGUCUUUUGGCGUACUUCUUGUUUCCUUGGUGGGUUCGCCCACCACUAGGACAAAAUCAUAAAACCCUUUUUCGGUAAUUUGCAAUCAGCGUCAGUAACAAAUUAAUAAUUACAA